AGUGUACGCUGGCGGUAGGCCUAACACAUGCAAGUCGAACGGCAGCACAGUAAGAGCUUGCUCUUACGGGUGGCGAAUCGCGGACGGGUGAGGAAUACAUCGGAAUCUACUUUUUCGUGGGGGAUCACGUAGGGAAACUUACGCUAAUACCGCAUACGACCUACGGGUGAAAGCAGGGGAUCUUCGGACCUUGCGCGAUUGAAUGAGCCGAUGUCGGAUUAGCUAGUUGGCGGGGUAAAGGCCCACCAAGGCGACGAUCCGUAGCUGGUCUGAGAGGAGGGUCAGCCACACUGGAACUGAGACACGGUCCAGACUCCUAAGGGAGGCAGCAGUGGGGAAUAUUGGACAAUGGGCGCAAGCCUGAUACAGCCAUACCGCGUGUGUGAAGAAGGCCUUCGGGUUGUAAAGCCCUUUUGUGGGGAAAGAAAAGCAGCAGGUUAAUACCCCGCUGUUCUGACGGUACCCAAAGAAUAAGCACCGGCUAACUUCGUG
This 492-nucleotide ribosomal RNA is filed under the name uncultured bacterium. Its description in RNAcentral is "partial 16S ribosomal RNA". It matches the Rfam family "Bacterial small subunit ribosomal RNA", at positions 29 to 507 of the family's 1533-position model. The record is from RNAcentral.